This 430-nucleotide ribosomal RNA is filed under the name Bacteroidota bacterium. Its description in RNAcentral is "Bacteroidetes bacterium partial 16S ribosomal RNA". It matches the Rfam family "Bacterial small subunit ribosomal RNA", at positions 355 to 776 of the family's 1533-position model. Lineage: Bacteria; Pseudomonadati; Bacteroidota. The record is from RNAcentral.
UAGGGAAUCUUCGGCAAUGGGGGGAACCCUGACCGAGCAACGCCGCGUGAGUGAAGAAGGUUUUCGGAUCGUAAAGCUCUGUUGUUAAGGAAGAACGAGUGUGAGAAUGGAAAGUUCAUACUGUGACGGUACUUAACCAGAAAGGGACGGCUAACUACGUGCCAGCAGCCGCGGUGAUACGUAGGUCCCGAGCGUUGUCCGGAUUUAUUGGGCGUAAAGCGAGCGCAGGCGGUCAAUUAAGUCUGAUGUGAAAGCCCCCGGCUCAACCGGGGAGGGUCAUUGGAAACUGGUUGACUUGAGUGCAGAAGAGGAGAGUGGAAUUCAAUGUGUAGCGGUGAAAUGCGUAGAUAUAUGGAGGAACACCAGUGGCGAAGGCGACUCUCUGGUCUGUAACUGACGCUGAGGCUCGAAAGCGUGGGUAGCAAACAGG